CGCACAAAUGUGACUUUUGCGCGUUGCAAGAAUUUAUUCUUGCAACGUGCAGCUGAUGGGUGUUUUUGUCCGUUUUCUCCUUGGUUUUUUCCAACUGAAAGCGGUCGCCCGAAGUAGAGAGUGCGAAUCACGAGGCACGCUGUCGCGGUUGUUUCUACUGGAACGAAAUUUUCUCGUUUGUGGAUCGACUUUAGUCUGGGUGCGGUGGGUCUUUCUUCUUUUUUUGGAGAACGCUUGCUGCUGCCCCUUUUUGGGUCUGGACUGCGUAUUUCCCUUCUCCUGGGGGUGUGUGCUGCGGAGUAAAUUUUCAUGUUGAAAAGCAGUAUGUGUUCUAAUGGGAGUUUUGAGAUGCUCGGUUUUGGAUUUGAGAGGGGGAAGAGGUGUUGUUGUUUUAAACAAUAAUCACUAAACCAGGUUGAGGUGGGGAGAAGGAAACGAGACGAGAAAAAGAUUCCGAUUAUUGGAAACAAACGGCAAACUCUUUGAGUGGGCCACCGAGGCUAUGUUUUUUUUGUAUCGUGAUGAGCCUUUGCAAAACCUUUUUUUUUCAUUUGGAUCUCAAAUCAGA
This 568-nucleotide unclassified non-coding RNA is filed under the name Sarcodiotheca gaudichaudii. The record is from RNAcentral. Lineage: Eukaryota; Rhodophyta; Florideophyceae; Gigartinales; Solieriaceae.